GACAAUGCAAAGCAAGGUCAGGCAUGGAAGC
This 31-nucleotide non-coding RNA is filed under the name Rattus norvegicus (Norway rat). The record is from RNAcentral. Lineage: Eukaryota; Metazoa; Chordata; Mammalia; Rodentia; Muridae.